UAAAACUUUCAGCGACGGAUGUCUUGGCUCCCACAACGAUGAAGAACGCAGCGAAAUGCGAUACGUCUGGCGACUUGCANAAUCCAGUGAAUCAUCAAAACUUUGAACGCAUCUUGCGC
RNAcentral lists this ribosomal RNA (119 nucleotides) under Undaria pinnatifida. RNAcentral's name for it is "5.8S rRNA". It matches the Rfam family "5.8S ribosomal RNA", at positions 1 to 116 of the family's 154-position model. Rfam says of the family: 5.8S ribosomal RNA (5.8S rRNA) is a component of the large subunit of the eukaryotic ribosome. The record is from RNAcentral. Lineage: Eukaryota; Phaeophyceae; Laminariales; Alariaceae.